CCUACGGGAGGCUGCAGUAGGGAAUCUUCCACAAUGGGCGAAAGCCUGAUGGAGCAACGCCGCGUGGGUGAAGAAGGUCUUCGGAUCGUAAAACCCUGUUGUUAGAGAAGAAAGUGCGUGAGAGUAACUGUUCACGUUUCGACGGUAUCUAACCAGAAAGCCACGGCUAACUACGUGCCAGCAGCUGCGGUAAUACGUAGGUGGCAAGCGUUAUCCGGAUUUAUUGGGCGUAAAGGGAACGCAGGCGGUCUUUUAAGUCUGAUGUGAAAGCCUUCGGCUUAACCGGAGUAGUGCAUUGGAAACUGGGAGACGUGAGUGCAGAAGAGGAGAGUGGAACUCCAGGUGUAGCGGUGAAAUGCGUAGAUAUAUGGAAGAACACCAGUGGCGAAAGCGGCUCUCUGGUCUGUAACUGACGCUGAGGUUCGAAAGCGUGGGUAGCAAACAGGAUUAGAUACCCGGGUAGUC
Molecule: ribosomal RNA, 465 nt
Filed under: uncultured bacterium
Lineage: Bacteria
Description: partial 16S ribosomal RNA
Rfam family: Bacterial small subunit ribosomal RNA
Source: RNAcentral